GACGAACGCUGGCGGCGUGCUUAACACAUGCAAGUCGAGCGGUAAGGCCCUUUCGGGGGUACACGAGCGGCGAACGGGUGAGUAACACGUGGGUGACCUGCCCUCAGCUCUGGGAUAAGCCCGGGAAACUGGGUCUAAUACCGGAUAUGACUCCAUGACGCAUGUUGUGGGGUGGAAAGCCUUGUGCGGCUGAGGAUGGGCCCGCGGCCUAUCAGCUUGUUGGUGGGUGAUGGCCUACCAAGGCGACGACGGUAGCCGGCCUGAGAGGGCGACCGGCCACACUGGGACUGAGACACGGCCCAGACUCCUACGGGAGGCAGCAGGUGGGGAAUC
RNAcentral lists this ribosomal RNA (333 nucleotides) under uncultured bacterium. RNAcentral's name for it is "bacterial SSU rRNA". It matches the Rfam family "Bacterial small subunit ribosomal RNA", at positions 28 to 363 of the family's 1533-position model. The record is from RNAcentral.